Molecule: ribosomal RNA, 222 nt
Filed under: uncultured bacterium
Lineage: Bacteria
Description: partial 16S ribosomal RNA
Rfam family: Bacterial small subunit ribosomal RNA
Source: RNAcentral
UAACACAUCGGAACGUAUCCAUAAGUGGGGGAUAGCCCGGCGAAAGCCGGAUUAAUACCGCAUACGAUCUGUGGAUGAAAGCUGGGGACCUGCAAGGGCCUGGCGCUUUAGGAGCGGCCGAUGUCCGAUUAGCUAGUUGGUGGGGUAAAGGCCUACCAAGGCGACGAUCGGUAGCUGGUCUGAGAGGAUGAUCAGCCACACUGGGACUGAGACACGGCCCAG